This 2253-nucleotide long non-coding RNA is filed under the name Salmo salar (Atlantic salmon). RNAcentral's name for it is "lncRNA (ENSSSAG00000104055.1)". The record is from RNAcentral. Lineage: Eukaryota; Metazoa; Chordata; Actinopteri; Salmoniformes; Salmonidae.
UGAAAAGGAACAUCUGGGUUCUCUGAAGACUUUUAAAGAGGAACAUCCAGAGCUGCCAGCAUCACCAGUCUAUUUGUGUGUCCCAGGAAUCCACCACUCACAACAACAACAAAAGUGUUUACAAGGUAAACAAGCCUUGGACAAAGGCAGAGACAGGGAGACUGCAACAAAGGCAUUUGUGAAAUAGGAACAGUUGACAGAAACAGAUUAUCUGUCAUUUAUAAUAAGACUGCCUACAGUUUGGACCAUAAAGCAAUUCCCUCUUUUUUUGUUCUUUGUGUUUCAAGUAGUCCUCAGCUUAAAUACCCAGGAAGCAAUAGAUUUUCUAACAUAGGAGUUUGUCUGCGUUCAUAUCCUUAGUCCGGAGAUGUCCUCAUCAUGGUAACAUAGGAGAUCUUGCCAAAAUGAUCUGUUGUUUGGGAUAAAAGAAAACUAUUGUAUUUACAGAUACAGUACAGUAUGUACAUAAUCAUAAUGCUGUAAUUGUUUUAUUUGACUUAUUUUAACAGUGUAAUAAUCAUUGUUAUGAUUAUAAUUUAUGAAGAAGAUAAAAUGGGGUGGGGGCAGAAAUCAACAUGUUUUUUUUCGAUGUGUUUGUUUUGAUUUGAUGAAGGUGGUAUAGGUUACAGACUUGAGUCCUGGAGGUCUGAGGUGAUGGGAGAUCAUAUGCUGCCUAUGUAACCAGGAUGUAGUCUUGUUGUGGGAAUAACUGCAGUUUUGUCCAGCCUAUUGUUAGCCAUUUAUCCGUCAUGAAGCUCGUCUCACUCCUGGUCUGCCUGAUUGUCACCCACCAAAAGGCCAUGGAAAAGAAAAUGCUCUUAGAAUAUUUUGUUCAGAAGGAAAAAAGAGAAGAUUAUAUUAGAAUGGUUUUAAUUUCAGUACCUGCAGGCAUGUUUGAUUAAUGCAGGCAUGUUUGAUUAAAGUUAUUUUCUUCUGUGUGUUGUCAUAAACAUAUUGUUGUUAUAUUGGGCAGCAGGAUGUUAGUGACCAAUGUGUUUUGGUUUUGAAAAACCAAGCUUAAAAUAUGUUAUGAUAUUUCAUUCUGGCUGGAUAAUUGUUAACAAGUAAUGUGUUUACUAACUCAGUCUGUACUACUGUCUGCACUACUGAGAUUUCAUGAAGAACUCCGACAUUUUGAAGUUAGCAGAGACAUUUCUGACAGUUUUGACUGUACAGUAGUAAGUAGCUAGUGUAAAAUCUGGCAUCUGAGUGUGUGGUUGUACAUGCAGCAUUGAUGUGCACACAUGCGUGAGUGAGUGAAUGAAAUAAUGGGAUGAUUUGCUGUAAAAAAGUAGAAUUAAGACAUAACGUUUCAAAUCCUGACGUAUCCAUAUGCUGACAUAUCAACUAAAUCAGCUCCAGUUAAUAGCCAUAGUCAUAAUUUUAGUAACACAUUUUGUCCUAAUAUAUCCUCACAUGUCCCAUACACAUAACUGUACAUUGGAGGAAGCCAUUGAUUAUGAGAGAGAAAGGCAGUGCAUUCACCAUUCAUUUGGAUCUCUUUGAUUUAUAUAAUUAGUGCUCAAUGUGCACUGCUCUGCUCCGUUGUGCCUCCGCGUUAUAGCUUUUAUUCAGCACAUAUGCCGUGGAUUUCAAUGUGUCAGUGGAAUUUCUGUAAGGAGACUUACUGGGGUGCUGUAGUCUCCCUCGCCUUUUGAGAAAACAGAUCUGUCAUUAAGGCACCUAUUUUGAGACCAAUACAUGAACGUAGAGUUUGGUAUCGCAAUUCAUGCUACUAUUAGCCUGUGUGGGAGAUCUCGUCUGCUAAGCCCAAUUCAUUUUUGCAAUCAUACGAGACAGACAGACAAAUGCUUAGUCAAUAACCCUCACUCUGACUUAGCUCUGUCAACAAUAGCAAAAUAACUCAUUUUCAGCUUUUCUGUUCCAGUUCUGUGUAAAAUGAAGUCUACUGUAUUUACGGAGAUGAAUACCCUCAUCUGAAGGAAAUUAUAUUAGUAGUAGCAAAGUGGUAUCUAUACUUGUAGAAGGAGGACACUUUCAAAAUUCACUGUCAUGUUAUAUGACUCAUAUAUAGAUAAUAUCUCUCAAGGCACUAUGCUAUGCUGUGUAUCGUUCAUUUGCAAGAUGUCCUUUGUAUUUUCAAAUAACUGCCAAACAGUUUGUAACCAUCUGUUGUCCUAACUGUAACUACUGUAUGUAUCAACAUGUCACUAAUCCAGAACAGGAUUUAAUUUGGAGGGGCUUGCACUUUCAGUUUCUUUUGGUUUUACUCCAGACUGCCCACUGUGAUGC